GACGGCUGCAGUAGCGUGGAAAGGGGGGUGACGUCCCGCGGACUUGAGGCGGGCAGAUCUGGGGGGCCCCGACUCCCCAGCGGCCCUGUAGUGGUGCGGGCGAAACUCUGGCCCCAGAUAGGACCGGUGAGCCGAACUGGGGUGUGCGGAGCCGGGGCUCCGGGGGAUGGCCCGGGGCGGCGUGGCGGGCAUGAGAGCUCGGGGCUCCGUCACGUACUCCGAGUCCCGCACGCACUCAGCGUCGCUCUGGGGCCCCACGUCCGGCCCUCGACCUUGCUGACAACUUUGGCGGCCCGGGCCUGCCGCGGCCCUCCUGCCCCGCCCCUCCUGCCUCGCGCCGCGAUCCGAGAGACCCCGUUGGCGUCGAGUCGUUGAGAGGCUGCGCGCCUCGGCCCCACUCCGGGGUUGGGGCGCUGGCCCCGCCGCAGCGCUGCGUGUCCGGGGCCACGUGCGCCGCCUGCGCCUGCGCGCUGCCCUCCAGCCGCGCCCGUCUGGCCGGGCUCCGCCUGGCACCCGCCAAGGUGACCCUGUCCCUUUCUCCUUGCUGCGGUGAGAAUCAGGCCGAGACAGCCAAAGGAAGGUUCACUUUCCUUUAAUUCUACCUCAUACUUUUUGAGUGCCUUCUAGGUGUCCGGCGCGCCCCCACGUGCUUCCCCAGUGUUAAUUCAUUCUCUCUCUAGUCCAUGUCAUGUUGCCUCUCAAAUUUUACAUCCCUCUCAUUCCCAUCUAGGGAACUAGAUCAAACCUACCUGGAUUCUUGUGAACCAUUCAUGUGAAUUAUUUGGAACUGGAAUUUCACACAGACCCGGGGAAUUUCUCAAAGUUCAAGACGGGUCAUAUUCCGUGGAAUACGGAAGGAGUUGGAGUGAUUUCACUUUUCUGAUCAAGAACUGAUAGCCAUUAAAACUCAGCUCCGCAAUAUAUCCCCCCACUCCAAGGGAGGGCUGAGAUGAUCACUUCGUUUUCUGUUACGGCUACUUUUAUAUUUUUCAACAUUACUGCUGGUCUGUAAGAGAACUAAAACAUCUGAUUUUCCUCAUUUCCUUGUAAAGAGGUGUUCAAAUAUGUACUUGAAUUUAAUUAUUUCUUCUGGUCAGCUGCAAAACCUGCUUUUCUUCCUUAACCCCUAGCAUUUUUAUCCUCUUAGCUACAGACAGGUUUCCAUGGCGUUGGUUAAAAAUUAAGGCCUAUUGAGACCAUAGUAUUUGCUUUCCAGUGAGUAAGAAGCAAGAACUUUAGGAUUAAAUUCAGCAAAAAGAAAAAAAAAAAGAGUAAAAUUUUGCAAGCAGAGUUUGUGAUUUCACCAGCAACACACUAACGUUUUUGGCUACUGAAAACCACUAUCCCCAGCCCCAUGACUCAGCAGCUAAAUCAACAGCCAACAUCUCCUACUGGUAAGGACUCUAAGAAAUCAGGCACUUGGUACUCUCAGAGCAAUUCUAAGGCGUGGCCCUGAAAGGGCUCCAAACAAUCUUAUUUUACAUAAAAAUGGUUAGAGAGAUAAAGAUACUCUGCUGUGGCCAGAACCAGUAAAUCUAGCAGGAAAUCAGAGGCCGAACAUGAUCCCGGACUGCUGCCGUUGCAAGAUUCUUGGAGGCUGCAGCGCCACAUUCUGAGCCAGCACUUCGACCUCACAUUGUAGCUAAAAUGUUAAUGAUUACUAGAGAUGUCCUGAAAUCUUUUUCAAAAUUCACAGGCUGCCAAAUGCCCUCCCUGUUUCCAUAGCUCCUUAGGCUUUGUUAGCAGGCUGUGGGGUUCACAUUUGCUUGUAGUCAGCACAACGGCAUUGCAUUUAGUUAUUAUUUCUCACUUGCUGUAAGCUUGUUGAGAAGUUUUAUUGGUGGUGGGCAGGUGGGGAAUAACUGUCCAAAGCUAUCAGAAUACCACACCUUGAAGCACUGUAGGUAACACAUGCAUGGUGUCUGCAGGUGGCCGGGAUCAAGGGAGAGUGAAUCUGCUACGACCUGUAACUCGCUUGGAUUACUGAUUCUCCCUGUGAUACGUGUGUAAAAAUCACUGGUCAGCUUGAGAAAGGGAUCUUUGUGAAAGAGGGUCUCCAGCCAGAUAGGGAACUUCAGGGUUGGAUAAGGAGCUCUGGGGAGGUAAGAUACCAGAUGAGUGCAGAAGGGGAUGUAGCUGGAUGGUCCCUCCUCAUAACAGAUCAUGAGGUUUUGGUAUUCAUCACUCAGUAUUUCACGUACACCAGAGACUACAUAAAGCGUAUAUAAAUCUCUGUGUACCCACAUCCCGCUUAAGAAAUGGAACACCAUGCUGGGCGCGGUGGCUCACGCCUGUCAUCCCAGCACUUUGGGAGGCCGAGGCGGGCGGAUGACGAGGUCAGGAGUUCCAAGACUAGCCUGACCAACAUGGUGAAACCCCGUCUCUACUAAAAAUAUAAAAAUCAGCUGGGCUUGGUGGCAGGCGCCUGUAGUCCCAGUUACUCAGGAGGCUGAGGCAGGAGAACCACUUGAACCCGGGAGGCGGAGCUUGCAGUGAGCCGAGAUCACGCCACUGCACUCCAGCCUGGAUGACAGAGCGAGACACCGUCUCCAAAAAAAAAAAAAAAAAAAAAGAAAGAAAGAAAGAAAUGGAACCCUAGAGUCCAGGCUUAGUGGCUCACAUCAGUACUCCCAGCACUUAGGGAGGCUGAGGCAGGAGGAUUGCUUGAGCCCAGGAGUUCCAGAACAGCAGAACAGCCUGGGCAACAUGGAGGAGACCCCAGUCUCUGUAAAAACUAAAAAAUUAGGCAGAUGUGGCACAUGCCUGUAGUCCUAUCCCAGCUGCUUGGGAGACUCGGGUGGGAGUGUCACUUGAGCCCAGGAGGUUAAGAUUACAAUGAGCUAUGAUUGUACCAGUGCACUCCAGCCUGGGAGAUAAAGACCUGUCUCAAAGGAAGAAAUGGGGCCGGACAUGGUGGCUCACCCCUAUAAUCCCAUCACUUUGGGAGGCUGAGGGGGGUGGAUCACCUGAGGUCAGGAGUUUGAGACCAGCCUGGCCAACAUGGUGAAACCCCAUCUCGACUAAAAAUACAAAAAAUUAGCCAGGUGUGGUGGCACAUGCCUGUAAUCCCAGCUACUCAGGAGGCUAAGGCAAGAGAAUUGCUUGAACCCAAGAGGCAGAGGUUGCAGUGAGCCAAGAUCAUGCCAUUGCACUCCAGCCUGGGCAACAAGAGUUAAAAAAAGAAAAGAAAUGGAAAGUUAAAAAAAAAAAAGAAAAAAGAAAUGGAGGCCGGGUGCGGUGGCUCAUGCCUGUAAUCCCAGCACUUUGGGAGGUUAAGGCGGGUGGAUGACCUGAGGUCAGGAGUUCAAGACCAGCCUGGCCAACAUGGUGAAACCCCAUCUCUACCAAAAAUACAAAGAUUAGCCGGGUGUGGUGGUACAUGCCUGUACUCCCAGCUGCUCGGGAGGCUGAGGCAGGAGAAUCAUUUGAACCCGGGAGGCGGAGGUUGCAAUGAGCCAAGAGUGUGCCAUUACACUCCAGCCGGGCGACAGAGCAAGAUUCCUUCUCAAAAAAAUAAAAAAAAGAAAUGGAACAUUAGUAAUGUCAUUUAGGUCCCCUGUAUGUUCUUUGACCCCAGAGGUAGCCACUAUUCUAAAUUUUGUGUUUUAUUAUUCCCUUGCUUUUUUUUUUUUUUUUUUUUUUUUUUGAGACGGAGUCUCACUCUGUCGCACAGGCUGGAGUGCAGUGGCUGAUCUCAGCUCACUUUAAGUUCCGCCUCUCCGGUUCACACCAUUCUCUUGCCUCAGCCUCCCGAGUAGCUGGGACUAGAGGUGCCCGCCACCACACCCAGCUAAUUUUUUGUAUUUUUGGUAGAGAUGGGGUUUCACCAUGUUAGCCAGAAUGGUCUCGAUCUCCUGACCUCGUGAUCCACCUGCUUCAGCCUCCCAAAGUGCUGGGAUUACAAGUGUGAGCCACCGCACCUGGUCUAUUCCCUUGCUUUUUAAAAUGAUUUUUUUUUUUUUAUUUUUAGAAGGAGUCUCAUUUUUUUUUGCCCAGGCUGGAGUGCACUGAUGCGAUCUCGACUCACUGCAACCUCUGCCUCCUGGAUUCAAGCGAUCCUCCUGCCUCAGCCUCCUGAGUAGCUGGGAUUACAGGCACCCACUACCACGCCCAGCCAAUUUUUUUUGUAUUUUUAGUAGAGGCAGGGUUUUACCAUGUUGGCCAGGCUGGUCUCAAACUCCUGACCUCGUGAUCCACCUGCCUCGGCCUCCCAAAGUGAUGAGAUUACAGGCAUGAGCCACCUCGCCCAGCCUAUUUUAUAUUAUUUUAUUUUAUUUUUGAUACAGAGUCUCUCUCUGUCACCCAGGCUGGAGUGUAGGGGCACAGUCUUGGCUCACUGCAACCUUUGCCUCCCGGGUUCAAGCGAUUCUCCUGCCUCAGCCUCCGGAUUAGCUGGGAUUACAGCCGCAUGCCACCACGCCCGGCUAAGCUUUUGUAUUUUUAGUAGAGAUGGGGUCUCACCGUAUUAGCUAUGAUGGUCUUGAUCUCCUGACCUCUUGAUCCUCCCGCCUCAGCCUCCCAAAGUGCUGAGAUUAUAGGUGUGAGCCACCGUGCCCAGCCGUAUUUUAUUUUUAAAUAUAUAUAAAAAAAUUAUAAGUACAGAACACUUCACAGAUUUGCAUGACGUCCUCGCGCGGGGCCCAUGCUGAUCUUCUCUGUAUCAUUCCAAUUUUUUUUUAGUAUAUGUGCUGGCAAGUCAUGCUAGGUUGGCAUUCCUCAGGGUGUCCAAAUGAGAGGAGUAAAGGGGAGGUGAUUAAGCAAGAAGGCCCAGGGGAGCUGGGGAAGCUGGGAGCAGAGUUCCCCUGGGCAGAGGUCAUGAAGGGGCACCCAAGUGACAGCCGAGGGAGAACAACUUCUGGAAAGUCUGUCUCAGCAGGCAUCAGAGGAAAGCAUCUCUAUUUGGCAUCAAAGAGCUCAGCAUGGCCUCCCUCAGGGCCCCAGCGCCUUUAUCUUUGGGAUGGAUGUGAUAAUAGUCUCAGGGGGAGGUCGGCAGUCUGGGAAUUACUGUUUCAAGCUAGAAUGGACACCUAGAAGGCACUAAUAUCCCUAAAUAGUAUCUGCAGGAAGUUAUCCAGCCAGUUUUCUUUUCACGUGUCUCUGUUCCCUCCCUCUUUUUCACAAAAUUCUUAAGGUUGUUGCCGAGGUUCUUUUUUUUUUUUUUUGAGAUGGAGUUUCACUCUUGUUGCCCAGGCUGGAGUGCAGUGGCGCCAUCUCGGUUCACCGCAGCCUCCACCCACCAGGUUCAAGCGAUUCUCCUGCCUCACCCUCCCUCGUAGCUGGGAUUACAGGCAUGUGCCACCACGCCCAGCUAAUUUUGUAUUUUUAGUAGAGACAGGGUUUCUCCAUGUUGGUCAGGCUGGUCUUGAACUCCUGACCUCAGGCGAUCCGCCCUCCUUGGCCUUCCAAAGUGCUGGGAUUACAGGCAUGAGCCAUCGCGCCCGGCCGCUGAGUUUCUUAAGGUUGUCACAGCAUCACUUGGAGGCAGGAGUGCCGGCCCCUGGGAAGGCCCUUGUCUUGAGAGGAGGAGAGGUCAGGUAACAAUUGCUGAGUUCCAGAUGGAAAAUGAGGAGCCACGUUCUUCAGAAGGUAGUGAUCUGGCGUGAUUCAGGCGUGGGGAGCAGGGUUUCACCACGCCUUCAGGCACACCACAAGAUAAUGAGAAAAUUCUCCCUGCAUCUAUCGCAGACCAAUAAAGUUGCUGGGCCGGGCACAGUGGCUCAUGCCUGUAAUCCCAGCACUUUGGGAGGGCGAGGCAGGCAGAUCACCUGAGGUCAGUAGUUUGAGACCAGCCUGGCCAACAUGGCAAAACCCCAUCUCUACAAAAAUACAAAAAUUAGCUGGGCGUGGUGGCACAUGUGUGUAAUCUCAGCUGCUCGGGAGGCUGAGGCAGGAAAAUUGCUUGAGUCCAGGAGGCAGAGGUUGCAGUGAGCUGAGAUUGUGCCACACUGCACUCCAGCCUGGGCGACACAGUGAGACUCUGUGUCAAAAUAAAUAAAUAAAAAAAAUAAUGUUGCUGAGGCCUCGUUACUUGCCAGACACCAGGAUGCUUGUAUAUGUAACUCAUUUAAUCUUGUAAGCACGUCCAUGAGCACACUCCAUCUGAUCGUCUCCACUUUCCAAGGGGCAGGGAGGCAGCAGCUGCUGGCUGAGGUGCCAGAGGACCAACUAACGCAGCCUGGUCCCCAGUCCUCGCCCCCAACCUCAGCAUUGUGCUCCUCCAAGAUGAAGAUUGUUCAUUCCCCUAGUCCUCGGAUUCCAGUAAAAUGCUACAACACCACCGUUAGUCCAAGGAACCUUGUCUUGAUUUGCUUAUCUAUACCACAACUACCUAGAAUUUAGCUGUAGCAGCUUCAGGAUUUGCGAAACAUCACUCAGGAAGCUUUUGUGUCUGCCGGAUUCUGUGUUCUCUCUAGAACAGGUUUGCAGUCAGGAGAGGCAGCUUGCAGUCAGAAAUGCCAGUUACACUGUGUCAGCAUUGGAGUUCCAAUGAUAAAAUGUCCCCAACCCCAUACUCAGGUUGAUGUUUUCUGGCAUUUCCUAAGCAGAGGGGUAGAAACUUUCUGAUUUUCGGCUGGGCCCGGUGGCUCAAGCCUGUAAUCCCACACUUUGGGAGGCCGAGGAGGGCAGAUCACUUGAGGUUGGGAGUUCGAGACCAGCCUGGCCAACAUGGUGAAACGCUGUCUCUACUGAAAAUACAAAAAUUAGCUGGGUGUGAUGGUGGGUGUCUGUAAUCCCAGCUACUCGGGAGGCUGAGGCAGGAGAAUUGCUUGAACCCAAGAGGUGGAGGGUGCAGUGAGCUGAGAUAGCGCCACUGCACUCCAGCCUGGGUGACGAGAGAAACUCUGUUUCAAAAACAAGAGACUUUCUGAUUUCACACAAACACGUUACAGUUCCCAUGAAGUGAAGUCCUUGGAAGUAAAGUCCCCACACCUCCUGCACUGGAAUUCUCUGACUAAAUGGGGUUUUUGUUUGCUUGUCUUGUUUCCUGGUGGUCAGGGAAAUGCUGAGAAGAGAAUGGAUUUCAGCACAGCAUUUCUCAGAGCCUCUUAGGUAAUUCUUGGGGCUAGGAGAGAAAUGAAGAUUUCUCUUACGCAUUUUGAACAGAAAAGCAAGUGGGUAGAUUUCUAACUGG
This 7132-nucleotide long non-coding RNA is filed under the name Homo sapiens (human). RNAcentral describes it as "non-protein coding ENO1-AS1:4". The record is from RNAcentral. Lineage: Eukaryota; Metazoa; Chordata; Mammalia; Primates; Hominidae.